Molecule: non-coding RNA, 136 nt
Organism: Brachypodium distachyon (stiff brome)
Lineage: Eukaryota; Viridiplantae; Streptophyta; Magnoliopsida; Poales; Poaceae
Source: Rfam
UAUGUACUCCCUCCGUCCAACAAAAGAUGCAUUAAGUUUGUCAAAAUUUGGAUGUAUCUAGACAUGACUAACUGUAUAGAUACAUUCAAAUUUAAUCAAAGUUGAGACAUCCUUUGUUGGACGGAGGAAGUAUGUA